This 273-nucleotide ribosomal RNA is filed under the name uncultured Bacteroides sp. RNAcentral describes it as "partial 16S ribosomal RNA". It matches the Rfam family "Bacterial small subunit ribosomal RNA", at positions 69 to 339 of the family's 1533-position model. The record is from RNAcentral. Lineage: Bacteria; Pseudomonadati; Bacteroidota; Bacteroidia; Bacteroidales; Bacteroidaceae.
AGGAAGAAAGCUUGCUUUCUUUGCUGGCGACCGGCGCACGGGUGAGUAACACGUAUCCAACCUGCCGUCUACUCUUGGACAGCCUUCUGAAAGGAAGAUUAAUACAAGAUGGCAUCAUGAGUCCGCAUGUUCACAUGAUUAAAGAUUUAUCGGUGUACGAUGGGGAUGCGUUCCAUUAGGUAGUAGGCGGGGUAACGGCCCACCUAGCCAACGAUGGAUAGGGGUUCUGAGAGGAAGGUCCCCACAUUGGAACUGAGACACGGUCCAAACUCC